Molecule: long non-coding RNA, 1982 nt
Filed under: Sus scrofa (pig)
Lineage: Eukaryota; Metazoa; Chordata; Mammalia; Artiodactyla; Suidae
Description: lncRNA (ENSSSCG00030053963.1)
Source: RNAcentral
UCUAAGUUAUUUUUUUACCUGACUCUGAAUCAGUCACCACAGUUCAUACUUUUAUAGUUUUCAUUUAUUUACAAUAUUUUUUCUGUUUCUGAGUGUUAAUUGUAGUCAGCAUUGUCAUUUGCUAAUGUUAUAGGUCGAGAAGUUAUUUCAGAACAGUUCUAUGUGCUUCAACUGACACAUGCUCUCCUCCCUGUCAUCAUAUAUUGAGUCAGUGUUAGUGUGAGCACUCUAACAUUUCAGCCACUGACUUUGUGUUUUUAAGGUAGUUCAUUUAUUUUAGCUCCAGAUUUAGCUAAUGCCAUGAAGGAACGAGACCUUUAUCUCAUUUCAUGUCUUAGGCACCAUAAAAUGCUGAGUCACAGUGCAUCUGUGGGCUGCUCUUGCUAGGCAAAUGAUUUAAAGUUUGAAGUUGGAGUGAUUUCAGAUUUCUCCUAUACUUAUAUUAUUGUUCAAUUUCUUUUUUUUUUCUUUUUAAUUUAGUAUACUUGUGUAGCUGUAUGUGGUUGAAAUGGGGAGGAGGUGGAUUGAGAGUGUAUGAACUGUAAUAUUUUUAAGGCCAUUCUUAUUGUUCACAACUAACUGAAUACAGAUCUGUGUAGUCUAUUAUAACUAGUUUUGAAUGUACAGAGUAGUUGAUGCCAGGGAAAUACUUUUCAGGGUCUGCAGAAGGCAGUGCCCCUGUCAUGAGGCUAUUAAUACCAUUAGAAUUGAUGAUUGCUGGUACUCUGAGAAGAAAAAAAUGAGGGGAUUUGGAUCAGUUCCUAAACUAGAUUGUUCCGUGGUACAGCAGCAUGGUUAUAUAUGGUAUAUAUGUACAUACCUGUAUGUAUACAUACAUAAUACAUUUUUUUUUCAGCAUACCUACUGUCAAACCCUUCUAUGUCAAUUAGCUUUUUUUUAAUUUUUGGCCACCCUGCAGCAUAUGGGGUUCCCCGGCCAGGGAUCAGAUCCAAGCCACAGUUGUGACCUGUUACACAGCUGUGGCAACACUGGAUCCUUUAACUUGCUGUGCCUUGCCGGAUUGAACCUGAGUUCUAGCACACCAGAGACACCACUGCUCCCAUUGUGCCACAGGGGGCACUCCUCAGUUAGCACAUUUAAAAAUGUGCUUCAGUUUGCUUGUAUUAUUGCAGUGGUGUAGUAAGCAGAGAAACUGGGUGAGUUUAUCCAUUUGUGUGGGAAAAAAGAUAGUGGAGAAAAUUAAAGAUAGCGGAGAAAAUAAGAAAAUCAUUCAUUCAACAGAUAUGUAUUAUGGACUCACUAUGUGUCAGGCAUUUUGCAGGGCUAGGGAUAUAGUCAUAAACAAAGCGAAAUCUAUGCCUUCACAGAACUUACAUCCUAGUGGAGAAGACAGAAGGUAAACAAACAGGUAAAUAUACAGUAUAACAGAUGGUAAUAUGUGCUCUGAAGAGAAAGAAGAGGGAUAAGGCAGUCUUGGGGUUGAAUACUUUUUUUUUUUUUUUUUUUUUUUUUUUUUUUNNNNNNNNNNNNNNNGCCUUACCUGUGGCAUACAGAAGUUCCCAGGCAAGGGGUCGCACUGGAGCCACAGCUGCCGGCACAGCCACAGCACUGCAGGGUCUGAGACGCGUCUGGGACCUACACCACAGCUCACAGCAAUGCUGGAUCCUUAACCCACUGAACAAGACCAGGAAUCCAACUCGCAACCUCAUGGUUACUAGUUUCCACGGCACCACAACGGUAACUCCCAAAAAAUUAAGAUUUUUAAAUUUAUUUUUUAACACAUUUAUGUAAUUCGAAAUAUGCAAAGCAAAAUCUUGCCUCCAUCCCUGUCCUCUCCACCCUGCUUACCUCACCCCCAUUGCCUAUAUUUCUUACUUAUCCUUCCAUUGUUCUUUAUACAAGUCAAGCAAUACAAGUUUAUAUUUUCUAUACUAACUAUAGUUUUCUUUUCUUUGCAAUGAAUUUUCCUUCCAUAUGGAUUAAAGAUUUGACUUUUAAAAUAACAAUAAAAUGGGCUAAAA